This 798-nucleotide ribosomal RNA is filed under the name Stigmella unifasciella. Its description in RNAcentral is "eukaryotic LSU rRNA". The stretch from base 481 to 798 matches the Rfam family "Eukaryotic large subunit ribosomal RNA", at positions 665 to 944 of the family's 3401-position model. Lineage: Eukaryota; Metazoa; Arthropoda; Insecta; Lepidoptera; Nepticulidae. The record is from RNAcentral.
CGUUCAGGGGUAAACCUGUGAAACUCGAAUGAACGAACGGGGAGAUUCAUCGUCAUUCGGAGGGCGGCGCUGGCGUCGCGCGAUGGAUUGCCCUCCGGCGGCCUCGGUCGUCCGGUGUGAGCCGUCCACGCGCGCGCUCCGCGCAGUCGGCCCUUCGACGGCGUGCACUUCUCCCUUAGUAAUGCAUCGCGACCCGCUCGAUACCGGCCUAAGCCCCGUUCGGGAGACCGCGGCGUAUACAAUGCGCUGCGGACCGCGACGGCGGCCGGCCGGUUGUUGGGCGGUAUUGAACGCGAAACACGCACGCGCUCGUCGCGUCCGGCCCGACGCAAGGUCGUCGCGAGACCAGUGCUGCGCCCGAGUGCGCGCAUCCGGUCUCCGGCGCCUGCUUUGUGGCAGCCGUGCCGUCUCGGACGUGCGUGUAUCCAGUCAUGCGAUGUUUUUGUUUCGGGCACUCACAGGACCCGUCUUGAAACACGGACCAAGGAGUCUAGCAUGUGUGCGAGUCACUAGGUGUUAAAACCGAAGGGCGCAACGAAAGUGAAGGCGAGCGCUUGUCGCUCGCUCGGGGAGGAUGGCGGUCGGCUCUCAAGGCCGCCGCCCGCACUCCCGAGGCGUCCCGUUCGCAAUCUGUCGAUGUGGGCGCGCUCAGAGCACAGAUGCUGGGACCCGAAAGAUGGUGAACUAUGCCUGGUCAGGUCGAAGUCAGGGGAAACCCUGAUGGAGGACCGUAGCGAUUCUGACGUGCAAAUCGAUCGUCGGAACUGGGUAUAGGGGCGAAAGACUAAUCGAACCAUC